This 813-nucleotide ribosomal RNA is filed under the name uncultured fungus. RNAcentral's name for it is "eukaryotic LSU rRNA". The record is from RNAcentral. Lineage: Eukaryota; Fungi.
CAUUAAUGAUUANGAAUCGUCACCUCCUGUGCUGGCCGCCCUUGGCAAGUGCACGUUGGUGGCUUUCAUCCAAUACCCCUGUGAACCUUUGGCCUCUUGUUGGCUUCGGCUGGCAGAGGAUUUUUUACAUACACACUCGAAUGUAAUGAAAGCCCUUAUUGUGCGCAAGCACUAAUGUACAACUUUCAACAACGGAUCUCUUGGCUCYCGCAUCGAUGAAGAACGCAGCGAAAUGCGAUAAGUAAUGUGAAUUGCAGAAUUCAGUGAAUCAUCGAAUCUUUGAACGCACCUUGCACCCUUUGGCAUUCCAAAGGGUAUGCUCGUUUGAGUGUCAUUGUACUCUCACACUCUCUAAUUCGGAUUCGGAUUGGGAGCGGUGGACUUGGGUGUUGCCGCUUCACUGUGGCUCGCCUCAAAUGUGUUAGUGCAACUGUUGAUUAGACAUAGUACGGCGUGAUAAGUGUCUUCGCCGGCACCUCGCAAGAGGGUGGCUAAUCGGGAGCUCUGUGCUUCAAACUGUCUUUGGACAAUCCUUGACAACUUGACCUCAAAUCGAGUAGGACUACCCGCUGAACUUAANCAUAUCAAUAAGCGGAGGAAAAGAAACUAACAAGGAUUCCCCUAGUAACGGCGAGUGAAGAGGGAAGAGCUCAAAUUUUAAAUCUGGCACCUUUGGUGUCCGAGUUGUAAUCUAGAGAAGUGUUUUCCGUGGCGGACCGUGUACAAGUCUCCUGGAAUGGAGCGUCAUAGAGGGUGAGAAUCCCGUAUAUGGCACGGACUCCCGUUGCUCUGCGAUACACUCUCAACGAGUCG